This 776-nucleotide long non-coding RNA is filed under the name Heterocephalus glaber (naked mole-rat). RNAcentral describes it as "lncRNA (ENSHGLG00100032282.2)". The record is from RNAcentral. Lineage: Eukaryota; Metazoa; Chordata; Mammalia; Rodentia; Bathyergidae.
CACAGAAACCAGAGAGCUUGAGAAGCUGAUCACAUUCACCAGAGUUCCUUUGCAGGGAAGGGGCUGCUGGCCCUUAGUACAUAACAGGGUCCUGUUGUUCUCGAUCUCCUAAUAACUCAAUGGUUUUGGACCUGCCCUGGCAAGGGGGACCUGCAGGGGACCACUCGAGGAGGUGGAGUCUUCAGGGACCCUCAGGUGCCAGGGUUUAGAGUUCUGCCUGCCCCUUACUUCCCAGCACCAGGCAAGAACUCCAGUAUCUUUCCGGGGUGGCAAAUUCAGCUCAUAACACCCAGAAGAUAAGAAGUGACCCCCAUGCACACACCACAGGCACUCGGCCCAGAGCAGGCCCAGUGAGGACAGAGAUCAUCCAAAUACAGACGAGGCAGAGCUGCCUAUGCUGAGAAAGCUAACAUCCGAGGAGGCACAGCUGGACGCGAGACACGCCACACUGCGCAGGGCGUUUGGGACGGAGAGUUUAUUUAGCCAUACCACGAUGAGUCCCGAGGCGCCAGAUUGUUUCCUACCUUCCCUCCACUACACUGUUCCUCCUCCUGGGACCGAGACAGGCCACGCUGAUGGAGAGCACGUGUCCGAGCUCAGGCGGAGCUGGGCGGUCUGGUAAGGUCAGCACUGGCCGAGGUGGGCGGGCAGAGCAGGGCCGCUGAGUCGGAGGCCUCGCCCAGUUCCUAGGGGCCGCCUGAGUGGGGAGCUGUCCCGGCUCCUGGUGCUGAAACCACCCUGUCCCGGCCUGACUUCUGGACAUAAGGACACUCGUU